GUUGAAUACGACUGAGCAACUGAACUGAACUGAGGAGAACACUGCAGCAUAGGAAGGUUAAGCAGUGUGCCCAGGCUCACAAAAAGCUAUCUGCUCCAUGGCGAGGCCAGGACUUCAAACCCAGAUCUUGCUGAGUUAAAUACAGGCCACUUCUGCCUUGCAGACAGAGUGCUGAGUCCCAGCGGAAGGAAAUGAAGAAUACUGGCUCAGAAUCACGUCAAGUGAUCUCAAUUCAUCCAGGGGUGCUUGCAAAAAUAUGCAACCCAUCAGUUACUUUAAUCUUUAGGUGAGCAUGGCUAAAACUAUAGAAUGACCCUUUGCUUCUCUUCCUUUGCUGAUAUUCUUGAAAUAUUCUAGCGACAGGACAGGAAGAGGCUACUUAGCAGUGAGCCCUACCCGCUCUGACAGCGCUGGUGAGAAGACGUCCGGCAAAGCCAGCAGCAGAGGAUGGGGCAGCCCUCGUGCCGCUGCAGCCCCUCCCCGCCUCCUCUGGGCUGUGCCCCAGCGUGCUAUGCGGGCCCAGUUUUUUC
Odocoileus virginianus texanus is the source of this 530-nucleotide non-coding RNA. The record is from RefSeq and is a predicted model, not a curated record. Lineage: Eukaryota; Metazoa; Chordata; Mammalia; Artiodactyla; Cervidae.